AGUGAACGCUGGCGGUAGGCCUAACACAUGCAAGUCGAACGGCAGCACAGUAAGAGCUUGCUCUUACGGGUGGCGAGUGGCGGACGGGUGAGGAAUACAUCGGAAUCUACUUUUUCGUGGGGGAUAACGUAGGGAAACUUACGCUAGUACCGCAUACGACCUACGGGUGAAAGCAGGGGAUCUUCGGACCUUGCGCGAUUGAAUGAGCCGAUGUCGGAUUAGCUAGUUGGCGGGGUAAAGGCCCACCAAGGCGACGAUCCGUAGCUGGUCUGAGAGGAUGAUCAGCCACACUGGAACUGAGACACGGUCCAGACUCCUACGGGAGGCAGCAGUGGGGAAUAUUGGACAAUGGGCGCAAGCCUGAUCCAGCCAUACCGCGUGAGUGAAGAAGGCCUUCGGGUUGUAAAGCCCUUUUGUUGGGAAAGAAAAGCAGCAGGUUAAUACCCCGCUGUUCUGACGGUACCCAAAGAAUAAGCACCGGCUAACUUCGUG
This 492-nucleotide ribosomal RNA is filed under the name uncultured bacterium. Its description in RNAcentral is "partial 16S ribosomal RNA". It matches the Rfam family "Bacterial small subunit ribosomal RNA", at positions 29 to 507 of the family's 1533-position model. The record is from RNAcentral.